GGGGAUUAGCUCAGCGGGAGAGCAUUGGCUUUGCAAGCCAAGGGUCGAGGGUUCAAUCCCCUCAUCCUCCA
Molecule: transfer RNA, 71 nt
Filed under: Myxococcales bacterium
Lineage: Bacteria; Pseudomonadati; Myxococcota; Myxococcia; Myxococcales
Description: tRNA-Ala
Rfam family: tRNA
About the family: Transfer RNA (tRNA) molecules are approximately 80 nucleotides in length. Their secondary structure includes four short double-helical elements and three loops (D, anti-codon, and T loops).
Source: RNAcentral